This 305-nucleotide ribosomal RNA is filed under the name uncultured bacterium. Its description in RNAcentral is "partial 16S ribosomal RNA". It matches the Rfam family "Bacterial small subunit ribosomal RNA", at positions 505 to 807 of the family's 1533-position model. The record is from RNAcentral.
ACAGCAGCAGCCGCGGUAAUACGGAGGGUGCAAGCGUUAAUCGGAAUUACUGGGCGUAAAGCGCACGCAGGCGGUCUGUCAAGUCAGAUGUGAAAUCCCCGGGCUUAACCUGGGAACUGCAUUUGAAACUGUCAGGCUGGAGUCUUGUAGAGGGGGGUAGAAUUCCAGGUGUAGCGGUGAAAUGCGUAGAGAUCUGGAGGAAUACCGGUGGCGAAGGCGGCCCCCUGGACAAAGACUGACGCUCAGGUGCGAAAGCGUGGGGAGCAAACAGGAUUAGAUACCCCAGUAGUCCCUGUCUCUUAUAC